GAUGAACGCUAGCGGCAGGCUUAACACAUGCAAGUCGAGGGGUAACAGGAAGUGCUUGCACUUUGCUGACGACCGGCGCACGGGUGCGUAACGCGUAUACAAUCUACCUUUUGCUGAGGGAUAGCCCAGAGAAAUUUGGAUUAAGACCUCAUGGUAUUACAUAGUUGCAUAAUUAAGUAAUUAAAGGUUACGGCAAAAGAUGAGUAUGCGUCCUAUUAGCUAGAUGGUAAGGUAACGGCUUACCAUGGCAACGAUAGGUAGGGGCCCUGAGAGGGGGAGUCCCCCACACUGGUACGUGAGACACGGACCAGACUCCUACGGGAGGCAGCAGUGAGGAAUAUUGGGCAAUGGAGGCAACUCUGACCCAGCCAUGCCGCGUGCAGGAAGACUGCCCUAUGGGUUGUAAACUGCUUUUAUACAGGAAGAAACACUCCCUCGAGUAGGGAGCUUGACGGUACUGUAAGAAUAAGGAUCGCUAACU
This 481-nucleotide ribosomal RNA is filed under the name uncultured bacterium. Its description in RNAcentral is "bacterial SSU rRNA". It matches the Rfam family "Bacterial small subunit ribosomal RNA", at positions 28 to 502 of the family's 1533-position model. The record is from RNAcentral.